RNAcentral lists this ribosomal RNA (546 nucleotides) under Verruconis gallopava. Its description in RNAcentral is "eukaryotic LSU rRNA". It matches the Rfam family "Eukaryotic large subunit ribosomal RNA", at positions 50 to 600 of the family's 3401-position model. Lineage: Eukaryota; Fungi; Ascomycota; Dothideomycetes; Venturiales; Sympoventuriaceae. The record is from RNAcentral.
GCGGAGGAAAAGAAACCAACUGGGAUUGCCUCAGUAACGGCGAGUGAAGCGGCAACAGCUCAAAUUUGAAAUCUGGCGCCUUGGGCGUCCGAGUUGUAAUUUGUAGAGGGAGUCUCGGGUUAAGGGUCGGUCCAAGUGCCUUGGAACAGGAUACCGAAGAGGGUGAGAGUCCCGUAUCCGGCCGACGCCAGCGCCCGUGUGAGGCCCCUUCGACGAGUCGAGUUGUUUGGGAAUGCAGCUCUAAAUGGGUGGUAAAUUCCAUCUAAAGCUAAAUACUGGCCAGAGACCGAUAGCGCACAAGUAGAGUGAUCGAAAGAUGAAAAGCACUUUGAAAAGAGAGUCAAACAGUACGUGAAAUUGUUGAAAGGGAAGCGUAUGUGGGCAGACUUGGACGCUGGAUUCAGGCCGCCUUCUGGCGGGUGUAUUUUCCAGCGGACAGGCCAGCAUCGGUUCUGAGGGCCGGACAAAGACGAAGGGAAUGUGGCUCCUCUCUGGGGAGUGUUAUAGCCCGGCGUGCAAUGCGGCCACUUGGACCGAGGACCGCGC